Long non-coding RNA from Anneissia japonica, 396 nucleotides. RefSeq lists it as uncharacterized. The record is from RefSeq and is a predicted model, not a curated record. The transcript has 4 exons. Lineage: Eukaryota; Metazoa; Echinodermata; Crinoidea; Comatulida; Comatulidae.
UAGCAAUCCGCCUACAUGUUUCUUAUGCUCAGUUCAACGUGUUGAUAUUUUCCGAUAAUAUCUAGGCCUAUAUUCAAAAUCAAAGGCUAACAUUGUAUUAAGAUGGUCGAACCAUAACUUUACACAAUGAAUAGUGAUACUGAAGUGAACAACAAAUCACUUGUGUUAUAUAAUCCUCAAAGUGUUCAUGCUAACACAACAAAAGACGAUGUUCCUGAAAUAAGUGGAGAUGAGCAGAAUAUUCAUGGAAUAUUAAUAUUCAGCCCUCAAAGUAAACAUGGAAGUAACAAUAGCAGCACCAUAGUAAAGAGCAGUGGAAAUGAAGACAGUAGUCAUGCAACAAUUGCAUUCAGUCCCCAAAGUAAGCAUGGAAGCAACAGCAUUAAACAAGGAAAG